GCUGCCGUAGCUCAGUGGUAGAGCACUCCCUUGGUAAGGGAGAGGUCGACAGUUCGAUCCUGUCUGGCAGCACCA
RNAcentral lists this transfer RNA (75 nucleotides) under Alphaproteobacteria bacterium. RNAcentral's name for it is "tRNA-Thr". It matches the Rfam family "tRNA". From Rfam's summary of the family: Transfer RNA (tRNA) molecules are approximately 80 nucleotides in length. Their secondary structure includes four short double-helical elements and three loops (D, anti-codon, and T loops). Lineage: Bacteria; Pseudomonadati; Pseudomonadota; Alphaproteobacteria. The record is from RNAcentral.